This is a long non-coding RNA of Asterias rubens (European starfish), 584 nucleotides long. RefSeq lists it as uncharacterized. The transcript is spliced from 2 exons. The record is from RefSeq and is a predicted model, not a curated record. Lineage: Eukaryota; Metazoa; Echinodermata; Asteroidea; Forcipulatida; Asteriidae.
UCAACAACACCCCCUGGCAGAUGAUGGAUCAGUCAUUGAUGGAUCAGCCCAUGCUUUUGGUACACAAUUGGGCCUACAUGAUUUAGAUAUAGGGAGGUAAAUUGAAAAUGACCAUGUGCAGAGAGUUUGCAGAAUUAUGUGCUUGAACAUGGAGAGCAGAGAAAAUGUGGAGGGCAUUGGAACAGUUUUGGAGGGCUGCAGGAGUGUGACCAGCUUUGAGGUGUGACUGCAAACAUAUUAACUGCACCCAACAAGCUCCUUGUUCCAUGGAUCAUAUAUCCAAGACUAAGCCAGAGGACAAAAGAAGAAUCAGCAGUGAGAGAGUACUGAUAUCUACUCCAAUGGUUUCAUCUCUACUUUUGAAGCAACCAUAUAAGAUGUACUUAAGAUGUCCUCACCAAUACCUUGGUAUGCUUCGUCGAGAUGAAAACACACUUACUUCUUGUAUCCUUUCAAGAAAACUUUCAUCAUCGUUCCAAAAUAUCCAAGAUGUCAAGACAAGGUUUCCUUGUUCCAAUUAAACCGAUGUUCAAAGAUAAACUUGAAAUAAGUUGCAACCUCCGGAAGAAAACAAGAAGACUUUG